ACCUCCUUUCUAAGGAUCGAUCGGAAAGCGCCUGGCCUUGAGCUGGGAAGGGCUUCCCAUCUUUUCAAAGAACAUGCCGUCGUCCUCAUGUCCCUUCAUCACUGGAGAUUAGCGCAGCAUCUGGCUGCGUUAUGAGCCUGAGCUGGCUAUCAGCCGCCCGCGGCGCGCCCUAGGGGUGUUUGCCAGCUUUUGGUGCGGUAUGGGCCGGUAGCUCAGGUGGUUAGAGCGCACGCCUGAUAAGCGUGAGGUCGCAAGUUCAACUCUUGCUCGGCCCACCAUCCGCACUCUUGGCGAAAUGGUAGGGGGCCUUAGCUCAGCUGGGAGAGCACCUGCUUUGCAAGCAGGGGGUCAUCGGUUCGAUCCCGAUAGGCUCCACCAUGCCUGAGGUUAGCGCCUCGAACGAACUCCAGAGAUGAAGACACGAUAUCCGAUCUUACGAUCGGUCAGCGGGGAUUGUCCUCGCGCUUCUUUGACAUUGUGAAUGGGUUUUUAAUCGAUGCCGUGGUGCAUUGGUGUGUGGUUCAAGGACCACAUGCGGAUGCGUCACUUACAGAUGUUGUAAAUCUGGCUGAGAUUAUUCGUCCACGCCUAGAAACGGCGACAGUAUAUGCAAGGCUGUCGUUGAUGGUGUGGAUUCUCAAGCGUGAGGUAAGAGCAUUU
RNAcentral lists this transfer RNA (660 nucleotides) under Novosphingobium fuchskuhlense. RNAcentral describes it as "partial contains 16S ribosomal RNA, 16S-23S ribosomal RNA intergenic spacer, and 23S ribosomal RNA". The stretch from base 202 to 275 matches the Rfam family "tRNA". Lineage: Bacteria; Pseudomonadati; Pseudomonadota; Alphaproteobacteria; Sphingomonadales; Sphingomonadaceae. The record is from RNAcentral.